Molecule: ribosomal RNA, 221 nt
Filed under: uncultured bacterium
Lineage: Bacteria
Description: partial 16S ribosomal RNA
Rfam family: Bacterial small subunit ribosomal RNA
Source: RNAcentral
GCCUAUCUCAGUUCGGAUUGGAGGCUGAAACCCGCCUCCAUGAAGUUGGAUUCGCUAGUAAUCGCGCAUCAGCCAUGGCGCGGUGAAUACGUUCCCGGGCCUUGUACACACCGCCCGUCACACCAUGGGAGUCGGAAAUGCCCGAAGUCUGUGACCCAACCUACGGGAGGGAGCAGCCGAAGGCAGGUCGGAUGACUGGGGUGAAGUCGUAACAAGGUACC